GAUGAACGCUGACAGAAUGCUUAACACAUGCAAGUCAACUUGAACUUCGGUUUGGGUGGCGGACGGGUGAGUAACGCGUAAAGAACUUGCCUCACAGUUAGGGACAACAUUUGGAAACGAAUGCUAAUACCUGAUAUUAUGAUUUUAGGGCAUCCUAGAAUUAUGAAAGCUAUAUGCGCUGUGAGAGAGCUUUGCGUCCCAUUAGCUAGUUGGAGAGGUAACGGCUCACCAAGGCGAUGAUGGGUAGCCGGCCUGAGAGGGUGAACGGCCACAAGGGGACUGAGACACGGCCCUUACUCCUACGGGAGGCAGGAGUGGGGAAUAUUGGACAAUGGACCAAGAGUCUGAUCAAGCAAUUCUGUGUGCACGAUGAAGUUUUUCGGAAUGUAAAGUGCUUUCAGUUGGGAAGAAAAAAAUGACGGUACCAACAGAAGAAGUGACGGCUAAAUACGUG
RNAcentral lists this ribosomal RNA (454 nucleotides) under uncultured bacterium. Its description in RNAcentral is "partial 16S ribosomal RNA". It matches the Rfam family "Bacterial small subunit ribosomal RNA", at positions 28 to 507 of the family's 1533-position model. The record is from RNAcentral.